RNAcentral lists this signal recognition particle RNA (99 nucleotides) under Chlamydiae bacterium RIFCSPHIGHO2_12_FULL_49_9. Its description in RNAcentral is "signal recognition particle sRNA small type". It matches the Rfam family "Bacterial small signal recognition particle RNA". From Rfam's summary of the family: The signal recognition particle (SRP) is a universally conserved ribonucleoprotein involved in the co-translational targeting of proteins to membranes. Archaeal SRP consists of a 7S RNA and homologues of the eukaryotic SRP19 and SRP54 proteins. In most bacteria, the SRP consists of a 4.5S RNA and the Ffh protein (a homologue of the eukaryotic SRP54 protein). The record is from RNAcentral. Lineage: Bacteria; Pseudomonadati; Chlamydiota.
ACCGGGGACCUCGCGGAAUGAGAAGUCCGAACCAGGUCAGGGCCGGAAGGCAGCAGCCUUAGGGACCCCUCCUCAUGCCACGAGUCCAUCUCCGGUGUU